UCACUGUGAUGAAAUUGAUUCCUAAGUCAUUCGUAGUUUCCACCAGAGGUCUCAGGACCAAAGAUGGUUCAAGUACCUUCCUUGGAUGUCUGAGUGA
Molecule: small nucleolar RNA, 97 nt
Organism: Anguilla rostrata (American eel)
Lineage: Eukaryota; Metazoa; Chordata; Actinopteri; Anguilliformes; Anguillidae
Product: small nucleolar RNA SNORD14
Exons: 1
Source: RefSeq, a predicted model, not a curated record